This 286-nucleotide long non-coding RNA is filed under the name Sorghum bicolor (sorghum). RNAcentral's name for it is "long non-coding RNA (SBIC_LNC003893)". Lineage: Eukaryota; Viridiplantae; Streptophyta; Magnoliopsida; Poales; Poaceae. The record is from RNAcentral.
AGCCAAGUACAUCAUCACGUUACUGGAAUACACUAGUAUAUCUAGAACAGGAUCAUCUAAAUUGUACCCCGCUUUCUAUAUAGCACAAACAUAUAUGACGAUUCAUAUAGAUGACCGUACAUGCAAACACUCAGCAAAAGAGCUUGAAAACGAACAACGGCCAACAUUUCUGUAGGUGAAGUAGAGAAACUUCUUCUUUAUUGUAUCUUCCUUCUUCUUCUUUCUACCACCGAAGAAUAAGAAAGACUGAUUCAAAACUUAUUCUCCCUAGUCCUUCAUUAUGGUC